AACGCACAUUGCGCCCGCCAGCAUUCUGGCGGGCAUGCCUGUUCGAGCGUCAUUUCAACCCUCGACCUCCCCUUGGGGAGGUCGGCGUUGGGGACCGGCAGCACACCGCCGGCCCUGAAAUGGAGUGGCGGCCCGUCCGCGGCGACCUCUGCGCAGUAAUACAGCUCGCACCGGGACCCCGACGCGGCCACGCCGUAAAACACCCAACUUCUGAACGUUGACCUCGAAUCAGGUAGGACUACCCGCUGAACUUAA
This 255-nucleotide unclassified non-coding RNA is filed under the name uncultured fungus. RNAcentral's name for it is "partial contains 5.8S ribosomal RNA, internal transcribed spacer 2, and large subunit ribosomal RNA". Lineage: Eukaryota; Fungi. The record is from RNAcentral.